GGGGAUAUAGCUCAAUUGGGAGAGUACCUGCCUCGCAUGCACAUAGGCCCUGGGUUCAAUCCCCAGUACCACCA
This 74-nucleotide transfer RNA is filed under the name Ictidomys tridecemlineatus (thirteen-lined ground squirrel). RNAcentral describes it as "Spermophilus tridecemlineatus (thirteen-lined ground squirrel) tRNA". It matches the Rfam family "tRNA". Rfam says of the family: Transfer RNA (tRNA) molecules are approximately 80 nucleotides in length. Their secondary structure includes four short double-helical elements and three loops (D, anti-codon, and T loops). Further hydrogen bonds mediate the characteristic L-shaped molecular structure. tRNAs have two regions of fundamental functional importance: the anti-codon, which is responsible for specific mRNA codon recognition, and the 3' end, to which the tRNAs corresponding amino acid is attached (by aminoacyl-tRNA synthetases). tRNAs cope with the degeneracy of the genetic code in two manners: having more than one tRNA (with a specific anti-codon) for a particular amino acid; and 'wobble' base-pairing, i.e. permitting non-standard base-pairing at the 3rd anti-codon position. Lineage: Eukaryota; Metazoa; Chordata; Mammalia; Rodentia; Sciuridae. The record is from Rfam by way of RNAcentral.